RNAcentral lists this non-coding RNA (174 nucleotides) under Bacillota bacterium. Its description in RNAcentral is "6S RNA". It matches the Rfam family "6S / SsrS RNA". From Rfam's summary of the family: E. coli 6S RNA was the first non coding RNA to be sequenced, but its function was unknown until recently. Lineage: Bacteria; Bacillati; Bacillota. The record is from RNAcentral.
AGUACCCCGGAACGUGUCUGGUCGUUUGUUUUGACCGAACACCUUUACAAUGGGAUCCCGCGCUCCGCUUAUGGCCGUCAUGCCUCGCAAGGUCAGUGGACUUCGAAAGUAAGCGGGAGGGAACCCACCUGCAUUGCGCAGGUUUCAAAACCGCGGCCCAUGUCCGGGGCUGUA